This 876-nucleotide ribosomal RNA is filed under the name uncultured bacterium. RNAcentral's name for it is "bacterial SSU rRNA". It matches the Rfam family "Bacterial small subunit ribosomal RNA", at positions 51 to 917 of the family's 1533-position model. The record is from RNAcentral.
ACACAUGCAAGUCGAGGGGAAACGACAUCGAAAGCUUGCUUUUGAUGGGCGUCGACCGGCGCACGGGUGAGUAACGCGUAUCCAACCUGCCCACCACUUGGGGAUAACCUUGCGAAAGUAAGACUAAUACCCAAUGACGUCUCUAGAAGACAUCUGAAAGGGAUUAAAGAUUUAUCGGUGAUGGAUGGGGAUGCGUCUGAUUAGCUUGUUGGCGGGGUAACGGCCCACCAAGGCUACGAUCAGUAGGGGUUCUGAGAGGAAGGUCCCCCACAUUGGAACUGAGACACGGUCCAAACUCCUACGGGAGGCAGCAGUGAGGAAUAUUGGUCAAUGGACGAGAGUCUGAACCAGCCAAGUAGCGUGCAGGAUGACGGCCCUAUGGGUUGUAAACUGCUUUUAUAAGGGAAUAAAGUGAGUCUCGUGAGACUUUUUGCAUGUACCUUAUGAAUAAGGACCGGCUAAUUCCGUGCCAGCAGCCGCGGUAAUACGGAAGGUCCGGGCGUUAUCCGGAUUUAUUGGGUUUAAAGGGAGCGUAGGCCGGAGAUUAAGCGUGUUGCGAAAUGUAGAUGCUCAACAUCUGCACUGCAGCGCGAACUGGUUUCCUUGAGUACGCACAAAGUGGGCGGAAUUCGUGGUGUAGCGGUGAAAUGCUUAGAUAUCACGAAGAACUCCGAUUGCGAAGGCAGCUCACUGGAGCGCAACUGACGCUGAAGCUCGAAAGUGCGGGUAUCGAACAGGAUUAGAUACCCUGGUAGUCCGCACGGUAAACGAUGGAUGCCCGCUGUUGGUCUGAAUAGGUCAGCGGCCAAGCGAAAGCAUUAAGCAUCCCACCUGGGGAGUACGCCGGCAACGGUGAAACUCAAAGGAAUUGACGGG